GACGAACGCUGGCGGCGUGCUUAACACAUGCAAGUCGAACGCUGAAGCUCAGCUUUUGUUGGGUGGAUGAGUGGCGAACGGGUGAGUAACACGUGAGUAACCUGCCCCCUUCUUUGGGAUAACGCCCGGAAACGGGUGCUAAUACUGGAUAUUCACUGGUCUUCGCAUGGGGGUUGGUGGAAAGGGUUUUUCUGGUGGGGGAUGGGCUCGCGGCCUAUCAGCUUGUUGGUGGGGUGAUGGCCUACCAAGGCUUUGACGGGUAGCCGGCCUGAGAGGGUGACCGGUGACAUUGGGACGGAGAUACGGCCCAGACUCCUACGGGAGGCAGCAGUGGGGAAUAUUGCACAAUGGGCGCAAGCCUGAUGCAGCGACGCCGCGUGAGGGAUGGAGGCCUUCGGGUUGUGAACCUCUUUCGCUCAUGGUCAAGCCGCAACAAUGGUUGUGGUGAGGGUAGUGGGUAAAGAAGCGCCGGCUAACUACGUG
This 483-nucleotide ribosomal RNA is filed under the name uncultured bacterium. RNAcentral's name for it is "partial 16S ribosomal RNA". It matches the Rfam family "Bacterial small subunit ribosomal RNA", at positions 28 to 507 of the family's 1533-position model. The record is from RNAcentral.